UGGGGAAUAUUGGACAAUGGGCGAAAGCCUGAUCCAGCAAUUCUGCGUGAGUGAGGAAGGACUUCGGUCUGUAAAGCUCUGUUAAUGUGGAAAAAUGGUAGUUGGUCUAAUAGGCCGAUUAUUUGAUGGUACACAUAGAGGAAGCACCGGCUAACUUCGUGCCAGCAGCCGCGGUAAUACGAAGGGUGCAAGCGUUGUUCGGAUUUAUUGGGCGUAAAGCGCGCGUAGGCGGACCUGUAAGUCAGAUGUGAAAUCUCGGUGCUCAACACCGAAACUGCGUCUGAAACUGCGGGUCUAGAAUCUUGGAGGGGGAGUGGGAAUUUCGCAUGUAGGGGUAAAAUCCGUAGAGAUGCGAAGGAACACCAGAGGCGAAGGCGCACUCCUGGACAAGUAUUGACGCUGAGGCGCGAAAGCGUGGGGAUCAAACAGG
This 430-nucleotide ribosomal RNA is filed under the name uncultured Bacteriovorax sp. RNAcentral's name for it is "bacterial SSU rRNA". It matches the Rfam family "Bacterial small subunit ribosomal RNA", at positions 355 to 776 of the family's 1533-position model. Lineage: Bacteria; Pseudomonadati; Bdellovibrionota; Bacteriovoracia; Bacteriovoracales; Bacteriovoracaceae. The record is from RNAcentral.